GAGACAGCAGUAGCCACGGUAAUACAGAGGGUGCGAGCGUUAAUCGGAUUUACUGGGCGUAAAGCGUGCGUAGGCGGCUUCUUAAGUCGGAUGUGAAAUCCCUGAGCUUAACUUAGGAAUUGCAUUCGAUACUGGGAAGCUAGAGUAUGGGAGAGGAUGGUAGAAUUCCAGGUGUAGCGGUGAAAUGCGUAGAGAUCUGGAGGAAUACCGAUGGCGAAGGCAGCCAUCUGGCCUAAUACUGACGCUGAGGUACGAAAGCAUGGGGAGCAAGCAGGAUUAGAUACCCCUGUAGUCCCUGUCUCUUAUAC
Molecule: ribosomal RNA, 308 nt
Filed under: uncultured bacterium
Lineage: Bacteria
Description: partial 16S ribosomal RNA
Rfam family: Bacterial small subunit ribosomal RNA
Source: RNAcentral